AGAGUUUGAUUAUGGCUCAGGAUGAACGCUAGCGGCAGGCCUAAUACAUGCAAGCUGAACGGUAACUCUUGUAGCAAUAUGAGAGCUAGAGUAGCGUAAGGGUGCGUAACACGUAUGCAAUCUACCCACAACAGGAGGAUAGCUCUUCGAAAGGGGAAUUAAGACUCCAUAAGACCACGAGAGGGCAUCUGAUAGUGGUUAAACUACCAAGGGGUUGUGGAUGAGCAUGCGUCUGAUUAGUUAGUUGGCGGGGUAACGGCCCACCAAGACGAUGAUCAGUAGGGGAACUGAGAGGUUGGUCCCCCACACUGGCACUGAGAUACGGGCCAGACUCCUACGGGAGGCAGCAGUAGGGAAUAUUGGACAAUGGGUGCAAGCCUGAUCCAGCCAUGCCGCGUGCAGGAAGAAAGCCUUCUGGGUUGUAAACUGCUUUUUUCAGGGGAUAAAAGGCCCGUGCGCGGGACAUUGAAAGUACCUGGAGAAUAAGCCACGGCUAACUACGUGCCAGCAGCCGCGGUAAUACGUAGGUGGCGAGCGUUGUCCGGAUUUAUUGGGUUUAAAGGGUGCGUAGGCGGCUCAUUAAGUCAGUUGUGAAAUACGACAGCUUAACUGUCGAGGUGCAAUUGAUACUGGUGAGCUUGAGUACUGAUGAGGUAGGCGGAAUGGACGGUGUAGCGGUGAAAUGCUUAGAGAUCGUCCAGAACACCGAUAGCGAAGGCAGCUUACUAAGGAGUAACUGACGCUGAGGCACGAAAGUGUGGGGAUCAAACAGGAUUAGAUACCCUGGUAGUCCACACUGUAAACGAUGAUUACUCGAUGUUGGCGAUACACGGCCAGCGUCUUAGCAAAGCGAUAAGUAAUCCACCUGGGGAGUACGCCGGCAACGGUGAAACUCAAAGGAAUUGACGG
Molecule: ribosomal RNA, 909 nt
Filed under: uncultured bacterium
Lineage: Bacteria
Description: bacterial SSU rRNA
Rfam family: Bacterial small subunit ribosomal RNA
Source: RNAcentral